GAUAGCUUCGUCCUUGCAUUGGAUUGAGAACAAUGUACAACUUCCUUAUCGAUAAGCCAUUGGAGGGCAAGUCUGGUGCCAGCAGCCGCGGUAAUUCCAGCUCCAAUAGCGUAUAUUAACGUUGUUGCAGUUAAAAAGCUCGUAGUUGAAGUGUGGGUGGUGCCUACUUCCAGACUUCGGUUUAGGAGUGGAUCACUACCCCCUUCCAGUAUCCAGUAGUGGGUAUUCAGUUACUUACUAUUGUGUGUUGGUCCUUUACUGUGAGAAAAUUAGAGUGUUCAAAGCAGGCGUUUGCUUGAAUAGAUUAGCAUGGAAUAAUAAUUGAAGGCUUUCGUGUUCGAUUUGAUUGGUUUGUUCAUGGAAGCAAGGUUAAAAGGAACAGUUGGGGGUAUUCAUAUUCACUAGUUAGAGGUGAAAUUCUCGGAUUUAUGGAAGAUGAACAGGUUCCCAAAAACCAA
This 458-nucleotide ribosomal RNA is filed under the name Blastocystis sp. RNAcentral's name for it is "SSU rRNA". It matches the Rfam family "Eukaryotic small subunit ribosomal RNA", at positions 492 to 955 of the family's 1831-position model. Lineage: Eukaryota; Bigyra; Opalinata; Blastocystidae. The record is from RNAcentral.